GAUGAACGCUGGCGGCGUGCCUAAUACAUGCAAGUCGAGCGAACAGACGAGGAGCUUGCUCCUCUGACGUUAGCGGCGGACGGGUGAGUAACACGUGGAUAACCUACCUAUAAGACUGGGAUAACUUCGGGAAACCGGAGCUAAUACCGGAUAAUAUAUUGAACCGCAUGGUUCAAUAGUGAAAGACGGUUUUGCUGUCACUUAUAGAUGGAUCCGCGCCGCAUUAGCUAGUUGGUAAGGUAACGGCUUACCAAGGCAACGAUGCGUAGCCGACCUGAGAGGGUGAUCGGCCACACUGGAACUGAGACACGGUCCAGACUCCUACGGGAGGCAGCAGUAGGGAAUCUUCCGCAAUGGGCGAAAGCCUGACGGAGCAACGCCGCGUGAGUGAGGAAGGUCUUCGGAUCGUAAAACUCUGUUAUUAGGGAAGAACAAAUGCGUAAGUAACUAUGCACGUCUUGACGGUACCUAAUCAGAAAGCCACGGCUAACUACGU
This 496-nucleotide ribosomal RNA is filed under the name uncultured bacterium. RNAcentral's name for it is "partial 16S ribosomal RNA". It matches the Rfam family "Bacterial small subunit ribosomal RNA", at positions 28 to 506 of the family's 1533-position model. The record is from RNAcentral.